RNAcentral lists this ribosomal RNA (624 nucleotides) under Triticum aestivum (bread wheat). RNAcentral's name for it is "partial small subunit ribosomal RNA". Lineage: Eukaryota; Viridiplantae; Streptophyta; Magnoliopsida; Poales; Poaceae. The record is from RNAcentral.
AUGGACAGUGCCGCCUCCGUCGCGGGAGCCCCCCCCGCGGUGCCGCCCGCGGUGCUGUGCGCCGCCGAGGAGGCCCUGGCGGCCACCGAGUCCGUGGGGGACCAACUCGCCGAGAUGCUCGCCGCGGCGGCCGAGGACCCCGACGCCGUCGCCGAGCUCCCGCCCCUGCAACGGGCGCGCGCCUUCCUCGCCGUAGCCCACGCCGCGACCUCCCUCUUCUCAGUGCGGCUGAGGUGUUCGGGGAUUAAUCCGGAUGAGCACCCUAUAAAGAAGGAGUUCGAGAGGUUAAGCCUGUGGCAGGAGAAGUUAAAUCGAUUGAACGAAUGGGACAAGGCACCACUGCGCCCUUCCACCACCGUGAAUACGCAAGCGGCUGCAAGGUUCAUUGGUCGUUCGUUGUCCCAUUUGACAGAUGACCAGAAGAGGGGCAUGCAGGCAAUCAGUAAAGGGGAAGGGGCGGGCUGGUCUGGGAGGAAGAGGAAGUCACAGCCACUGCCAGAGAGGAAGUCUGUUCGUGCUGCUGCGGAAGAGUUCCUUGCGAAGGCUUCUCAGGAGCUCAUUGGGUAUAAUGGUAGCGGGGUGAAGGGCCCUGUUAGAACUGUUUUUGAUGAAGACGAGGACUAG